This 375-nucleotide long non-coding RNA is filed under the name Olea europaea subsp. europaea. Lineage: Eukaryota; Viridiplantae; Streptophyta; Magnoliopsida; Lamiales; Oleaceae. The record is from RNAcentral.
GUUGGAAGAAUCAAACAGUUCAAGAGAAAUUACCAGAGAAGGUUUAGAAUGAAGGAUUUGGCCACCCCAAUUAUAGCUGCAUCCCUCUUUGCAUUUCUGUCGCCCGGACUAAUAUUCCAGCUUCCAGGAAAGCACCACAUGGUCGAAUUUUUUAACAUGAAGACAAGCAUACCUUCCCUUUUCCUGCACACUGUUAUCUAUGGUUUGCUUCUCAUUCUCUUCUUUGUGAUCCUCAAUGUACAUCUCUAUGAAUAGGCCAGGAAGAUUCCACCUAAAAUAUGCCUAAUCUGUGGAUUCAAGUUACUAGUAUAAUUUAUUUGUUGUGAUGCACUUGAAAAACUGGGUGCAGCUUAAAUAAGGCAUCUUCAUCUAUUG